Molecule: ribosomal RNA, 253 nt
Filed under: uncultured bacterium
Lineage: Bacteria
Description: partial 16S ribosomal RNA
Rfam family: Bacterial small subunit ribosomal RNA
Source: RNAcentral
UACAGAGGGGGCAAGCGUUGUUCGGAAUUACUGGGCGUAAAGGGCGCGUAGGCGACCUUCUAAGUCGAACGUGAAAUCCCCGGGCUCAACCCGGGAACUGCGUCCGAUACUGGAAGGCUUGAAUCCGGGAGAGGGAUGCGGAAUUCCAGGUGUAGCGGUGAAAUGCGUAGAUAUCUGGAGGAACACCGAUGGCGAAGGCAGCCUUCUGGGCCAACACUGACGCUCAUGCACGAAAGCGUGGGGAGCAAACAGG